Molecule: ribosomal RNA, 179 nt
Filed under: uncultured Gelria sp.
Lineage: Bacteria; Bacillati; Bacillota; Clostridia; Thermoanaerobacterales; Thermoanaerobacteraceae
Description: partial 16S ribosomal RNA
Rfam family: Bacterial small subunit ribosomal RNA
Source: RNAcentral
GCCCAGGGCUACACACGUGCUACAAUGGGUGGUACAAAGAGAUGCAAUCUCGCAAGAGCAAGCAAACCUCAAAAAGCCAUCCUCAGUUCGGAUUGGAGUCUGCAACUCGACUCCAUGAAGUCGGAAUCGCUAGUAAUCGCGGAUCAGCACGCCCGCGGUCGAAUACGUUCCCGGGCCUU